UACGGAGGGAGCUAGCGUUGUUCGGAAUUACUGGGCGUAAAGCGCACGUAGGCGGCUUUUUAAGUCAGGGGUGAAAUCCUGGAGCUCAACUCCAGAACUGCCUUUGAUACUGGGAGCCUUGAGUUCGAGAGAGGUGAGUGGAACUGCGAGUGUAGAGGUGAAAUUCGUAGAUAUUCGCAAGAACACCAGUGGCGAAGGCGGCUCACUGGCUCGAUACUGACGCUGAGGUGCGAAAGCGUGGGGAGCAAACAGG
This 253-nucleotide ribosomal RNA is filed under the name uncultured bacterium. Its description in RNAcentral is "partial 16S ribosomal RNA". It matches the Rfam family "Bacterial small subunit ribosomal RNA", at positions 524 to 776 of the family's 1533-position model. The record is from RNAcentral.